Long non-coding RNA from Eucalyptus grandis, 3330 nucleotides. RefSeq lists it as uncharacterized. NCBI's taxonomy places the organism in Eukaryota, Viridiplantae, Streptophyta, Magnoliopsida, Myrtales, Myrtaceae. The record is from RefSeq and is a predicted model, not a curated record. The transcript is spliced from 5 exons.
ACAACAUAGUGCAACAACAUAGUCGAAAUUCAAGGUCUUGAUGGUGCAAAGUUCUUAGAAGACUUGGAUUUUACAGGAUGCAAAUCAAUAGAGACUUUCCAGAUUUGAUGGGAUGUGAGAAGUUAGGAUCUCUAAGAGUUCGAGACAGAAAGAAGCCUCCUCAGCUUCGGGGACUUGAAAAGUUGGAUUUAAUUGAUUUGGAUAUUUCUGGUUGUGACUCAUUAGAAGCAAUACUGAAACGCACGUCUUUAUAAAUCAUGAACGAGAGCUAUCUUUUGACUUUUGGAGUGAUGUUUCCUCAACAGAGGCAAAUAAGCAGUUAAUAAUCAUUUUUCUUCUGAGAUUGAUGACCUACUUUUCAUCCCCAUCUUCUUUUGACAAGAAGGUUUUCCAUGACGGGGUUCUGUCAUAAUUGAAGGAAUGGGGGAGUUGGUCAUACAUGAUGCUUCAGCCAAGAUCAAAAUAUAGACCCAAAUGUCAAUAGAAGGCAUAGUAAGAUUCUUCAUCCUUGAAUAGCCAACAUGAGCAAAUAGACUUCUGCAGACUGCAAACAGAUUAGCAGCUUGCGAGGCAAGGAUGAAAAUAUCAAGCAAAGGUAAACAAGAGUUCCCCAGUGAUUUAACAGUUCCUCCAUAAGUAAACCUGGGAUUUGAAAUUUUCAAAUCGAGGUAGAUGAACUUCUGCUACUCAAUAUUGUAAACUACGCCCGGAAUUUCCCUAUCCAGAAUUUAUAUUUUCUUUGAAAAAAUCCUUGGCCAUUUUGAGUUACUUUGUGAGUUCUUUUGUGUGAAAUUUGACUAAUGGCAGAUGUCCUGUUUGAGACAAACAUAUUGGUUUUCCGCGAUGAACAAAAACCCUGUCAAGUUUCUUAUUGUUCCGUUGAUGUCCCUCUUGAACCUUCUGAGAAUAGCAUCAAUUCCCAUUAAGUAUGAUGAAGUGAGCUAAAAUAAAACAUAUCAAGUGUUUUUGGUUUGUGAUUAAAAAAAAAUGUUAAAAGUAGUUUUGGCUAGUCUGUCAUAUAUGAAUGUACGCCACCUUAACAUUACUAGUAGUCAAACUAUUGUUUUGAAUAUUAUCAAGCAAGGUAAAUUGGUGCUGCUUCCAUGACAGGUUUGUUUGGUCUGUGUAAUGAUCAAGGCUUACUUUGGGACUUCAGUUUGAUUAACUGUAUCGAUGACUUUUGCAUUAAUGAACAAUGUUUUGCUUGUUGUGAAACAAGCUAGGAUGAGGAGCUCAAGAAUUUGCUAAUUAGUUUGCAUAACGUUUGAUCCUAUUGUUGCCAUGGAAUUGCUUUAUUACAUGACUGAUUUGGGUGUGGCUCACUUGGCUGAGGAACUUCAAAUUCCAUACUUGAGACUGAUCAAAAUAAAGAAAAGGGAUUUUGCAGAGGAAGCAUUAGCAACAGUUGAGGACCAUCUUGCAUGCCAAACUUGAAGAGGCUUUGGGGCCGACUAGAGUGUCCUAAGGAAGUUUUGAUACUUGUGAAGAUCCAAAACACUUUAUCUGAUCUCAAUGUCACAUCCCUAAAUGAUUGUAAAUGUAUUUUUUUUUUCAAUUAAAUAUGCUUUAUGUAUGCUCAUUAGGUUCUAGCUCUCCUUUAAUCAAAAACUAAGUUGAUGAAUUUUUGUACGUUACCGUGAUGCAGAGUUGUUCGAUGUGGUUGCAGUCUAAUGAUUUCACUCUGGAAUUGAGGAUGCUAUGCAGAGGGAGCCAGCUAAUGAAGUCUCCUUUCAUUGUGGUCCAACUCUGAUUGGUGUCAAUGUUUAUGCAUUUGUACCUUAAUCUCUCAUGAGAUUAAAGCUGCAUUUGAUGAAAUUCGGAGGAAGUCCCCAAACACCACGGAGUUUAGAUAAGGGCAAGAAUGAGCUAUGUCAGUAUAGAAAGGCAUUUUGAAGUUCUUUGCCAUUGGCAUUUGUCAUUUGCUCCAUGUUGUUAAUACUCUUCAAAGGUUCUUGAUAUAAGGCAACUUCUUCUCAUGUGGUGUAUUAGUCCUUUGCAAGGUUGAAAUCAUGCUAUUCUUUAGCAAAGGCUGCAUCACAAAUCGCUUGGAGGAAGACUGCAUGUGUAGGUGGUUUUAUAUGUGAAGUCAAGCAUAAAAUGAGAUUUGUUAACAAGAUUACUAUUUAGAUGUCCACUUCAAGCUACAGUUUUGUGACUGGAAGAGACUUUUUUCGUAGAAAAAGCAAAUGCCAUGGAAUCAAAAAAUAAUCUGUCAACUGCAGCCAAGAGUUUCAAUGAAAAGGUUUCCGAGAAGACGUUAGUUUCUCAUUUGGAAGAAUUUUGAACCCAAAAUGAGGGCAUUAUAAAAUCAUCCGCUUGGUAUGGUUACAUCGGAAAUUCAUAUGUAAGCAUCUUCCAAUCAUUUUGGUCAUAUAACCCAAAAUGAUGGCAUUAUAAAAUCAUCCGUUCGUGCCAGUUGUUGUGAGUCGCUCACAGAUAUCACUAGCUCAACUUGAGAUUUACAGAAUUUGCAACAUCUAGACAUUAGUGGUUCUGGUAUUGAAAAGCUUCCUAGUGCUAUAUGAAGGUUGAAAAAUUGGUGCACUAUAAGUUUCCCAUCAUGCUAUUAUCUGAAAGAGCAAUUCCAAGUGAAAUCGGUGACUUGUCUUUGCUUGAGAUUCUCUAUGUUACUUGGGGAAUUUUUAAGCUUGUGAGGAUCUAGUACACUUUAUCUGGUCUCGACAGCACAUACUCGAAUGAUUUUGAUGUUGUAUUUUGAGUUGAGUCUGCUUUUUGUAUGUUCAUGAGGUUCAACCUCUCUGUUAAUCCAAUACGUAGCUGCUGAUUUUUUUGUAUGUCACCCUGAUGCAGAAAUGUUUGUUUAAUGCCGUUGCAUUCUAAUGUUAUCAUUCCAGAACUCGAUAAGGCUCUGCAAAGGGAGAUUCAAGCUGCAUUUCAUAAAAUUCAGAGAACAUUCCCGAGCAUCACAGGACGGAGAUGUGGACCAAAAUGAGAUAUGUCAUGAGACGUUAUGGAAAGGUGUUCCAAAGUUCUUCGCUAAAGGUGUUUAUAAUGUGCUCUAUGCUGAUAAUCUUGAUAGGAUUCUUGAUAUAAAGGGACCUCUUCUAAUGCGGUGCAGUAGUCCUUUGCAAACUUUGACAUCAUGCUAUUAUUUAGCAAAGGUAGAAUUUCAAAAUGCUUGCAGGAAGACUGCAUGUACAGGUGGUUUUCGAUGUGAAGUUAAGCAUAAAGUCAUGUUUGUCGACAAGAUUACCGUUUUAGAUGUCCACUUCUGGCUGCAAUUUUGUGAAUGUGAGAGACUUCUUUAAUGUAAAAAGCGAAUAUCAUGGAAUCAGCAAAUAAUCUAUCAAUUGCAGGCAAGAUUUUCAG